Molecule: long non-coding RNA, 541 nt
Organism: Neltuma alba
Lineage: Eukaryota; Viridiplantae; Streptophyta; Magnoliopsida; Fabales; Fabaceae
Exons: 3
Source: RefSeq, a predicted model, not a curated record
GCUUGAUGGCGUAUAUUAGAGUGAGAGUCUGAGAGACUGUGGGGAGGCCGAUUGAGAGACUGAGAACGAGAGAGAGAGUGAGAGAAAGAGAGCUAACACUGGGAGGGAGAUCCAAGCAGGGAAGCUUUUGGGGAGGAGAUAGAUUACGUGCAAGUCGGCUUUCGAACCAAGGAUUUAAUUGGCGUCCUAGCUUACCAAGAAGAAACCAAGAGUAAGGUACCCGCACAGGAGAGCAGGCGGAAGGGCCCAGUUCAUCCAAAGGAAAAAAGAAGCUGGUGGAAGCUUAGCUAAGGUGGCAGGAAAGAAGAGCUUAGUGUUUAGUUAGUUAGUUAAUCUGGAAUAUUUUUGUGUUUGUUUCCCAGCUUAGUGUUUAGUUAGUUAGUUAAUUUGGAAUAUUUUUGUGUUUGUUUCCCCCUUCCUUUUAUGAUGCCUAUAUUUCAUUUUGUGAGGUUAUGUAAUUUCCACUAUGGGAUGUAUGUACCUCUAUAAGGAGUAGUGUGUUGGGGUAACUUAACAUAACUGGGGACUUAGCAUACAUAUA